GACGGGGGAUGCAAGCGUUAUCCGGAAUGAUUGGGCGUAAAGGGUCCGCAGGUGGCCCGGUCAGUCCGCUGUCAAAGCCUGGGGGCUCAACCCUGGAGAGGCGGCGGAGACCACCGGGCUUGAGUCCGGUAGGGGCAGGGGGAAUUCCCGGUGGAGCGGUGAAAUGCGUAGAGAGUCGGGAGGAACACCAAAGGCGAAGGCAGUGUCCUGGGGAGUACCGUGACGCUCAGGUGCGAAAGCCAGGGGAGCGAACGGG
This 256-nucleotide ribosomal RNA is filed under the name uncultured bacterium. RNAcentral describes it as "partial 16S ribosomal RNA". It matches the Rfam family "Bacterial small subunit ribosomal RNA", at positions 524 to 776 of the family's 1533-position model. The record is from RNAcentral.